Molecule: unclassified non-coding RNA, 656 nt
Filed under: Hevea brasiliensis (rubber tree)
Lineage: Eukaryota; Viridiplantae; Streptophyta; Magnoliopsida; Malpighiales; Euphorbiaceae
Source: RNAcentral
AUUAGGGGUCAGAAAUUUGAUUAAAAGAAAAAUAAAAAAAAGACCUAGUGACUACUGAUUACAUGUUGGUGUUCCAUAUGAAGUGAACUUUUAUACUACUCAUUUCAAUAUUAUGGUGCUACUACAAAUAUAUCAUUCUUCUGUUGUUUGACUGAAAUAUUAGAGUUUUUCUUUUCACUCCAGGUAUAUACACUCACCCAAUUGAGAACUGACAUAUUACUUAAAUAAUAGUGAAUCCUAUUAAAAAUUACAAUUAAUUUUAUUACAAAACAUAAUUUCUUAAUUUUUGAUUGAUUGGGAUACCUUGUUGUAUCUAAGAAUUUUUCCAUUAGAGUAGGUUUACAUUCAGCUAUUUCUUCUGUUGUUUUGCUUCUUAUUUAUUCAGUCUUUUCAAUUAUAUCAAAUUAUAUAUGGUUGUUUAUUUUUUUAAUUUUUAUUUAGAAUGAGUUAUGAAGAUAAAGAUUUUAAGGUUGUUUUUUUUUCAAUGGUUUAUUGACUAUGUGUUAUGGAUAAUUACUAUUCACUAUUUAUUAAUGAUAAAUUUCUAAUAAUUACUAUUUACUAAUGAUAAAUUUUAAAAUAAAGAAGCACAUAAUAUUAAAGUGUCGGUAAGAGUGGAAGCUCAUUCUUUAUCAAUGCAUCCUUCAAUAUAAUAG